UGUCCCGCUCCGCGUAGAGAAACUCAGAUUCAACAGACGUAGAACUAGCCUCGGCUGCCACAGCUCCUCGGUUUCGCCUCGGAAUCGCUUCUCUAACUGAAACCCCCCCAGUACGGCCCGGGCCUUUAUAUAUUUCUCCGCCCCCUCGCAGUCGCCGUGCUGACUUCAGCGCGCAAACCACGCCCCUUCUUCCUCCUCUCACUCCCCUCCCCCCACCUCUGCUUGCAGCAAAAGAUAUCGCGGGGAGAACUCUACACUCCGCUUAAAGAGGUGGGGGGAGGGCCAAGACACCCCAAGGCUACCGCGAGAACUAGGCAGGCUGCGGGCCUCUCCCAAUCCAGGAGGCCUCUAGAUGGUAUCGCGAGGCUUCCCUAUACAAUGUUUAUGGCUCUGUUCACGCGAGAUUUGUCUCUACUUGCCUCCCCCCCCUCCAGGUUUCGUAAGAAUUCUGGCGAGUACCCUUCCCUCCUUGAUGACUUCAAGAUGUCGCGAGAUUUGUCUCCCCCCCCAAAAAAAAGCCUGCCGCUGCAACAGAAAGAGAUGGGGGGGUCCUUAGGUCACGUGAGCAUCCCUGCUGUGCCUUGGCGCCAUCUUAAGUGGGUUGCUGCUGUUGCCAUCAGCCACCAGGGAAGCUACUACGAAGCCAGUGCUGUCAUUAGGAGGUCUAGAAGGAUAUGAGGACGGGAAAAACAAGUAACCUUGAAAACAAACUCUUUAAAAUGUGAGUAAAAGCUGUAUUGGUGAGAUUUCUGAAGGGCUAUCAGUGGGAUGUGUGAUGAAAUAUCGUUGACAACGUGCGUAUUGCUCCUCUUAUAAUUUUAGUUUAUAAUUUUAAAAAUAUAUUUCACCUACCCCAGGGAGGGGAAAAAACCCUCUUAUCUUCAAUAGCUAGCUCAUUUCAAUAUUACACUUUGUUGUCAAUCAAUUAUUGCUCUUCCUUUCCUUCUACUGAAUUUCUUCAUAAGGAGAUUUUGAAAAAUGAAGUAGUAUAUACUGUGCAUCUCAAACUUUUUUCUUUCCUCAUAGGCAUCCUACAGUCUCGAGAGACUAUGGUAGCAUGCUCUGUAUGGAGGACUUGGAACAGCAUCUAGUGCUUUGACGCUGUACACGAAACUGGAGUGUUCUCUCCAGGGCACGAAGCCUAAGUAAAAUAAUAUGGAGGAUAGGCUGUUACCCAACAAGCAAAUCCCCCCUCUUCACGUCACUGAAAUAGUCCAAUGGAAAGGCAAGAGCCAAUACAGCUGGUUCCAGCAACGUCGCAGGAGUUGGCAGAACGACACGAACUGCCUCCAGGACUCCAGCUCCAGAUUUUUCCUUUCCUAUGUAUUUAGAAAAAGGAUUGAAAAUACAUACUUUCCCAAAACAUAAAAACACUACCAGCUCAAUUUU
This 1389-nucleotide long non-coding RNA is filed under the name Pogona vitticeps (central bearded dragon). RNAcentral's name for it is "lncRNA (ENSPVIG00000018660.1)". Lineage: Eukaryota; Metazoa; Chordata; Lepidosauria; Squamata; Agamidae. The record is from RNAcentral.